CCUCAAAAUUAGAUCAGCAACUACAACACAAAAUUAAAUCAACAAAAAUAGAUCAGCAAGGUGAUAGUGGCGCCCCAUAGCCGCGAAUUUCUUGCAAGGUGACAGAAAAAAUAGAUCAGCAAGAUAAAAAAAAUAGAUCCCCAAUUUCUUGCACAAAAUUAGGGCUUGGACGAGGUGACAAUUAGGGUGAGGCGACAGCCUUCCUGGGCCGGAGGCGCCGCGUGUGGCAGCGGCGUUGCCGGAAAUGAGAGGGAGAUCUAGGAAGAGGAGGAGACCGAAUUUGGGAGCCUAGGGCUCGGCGGUGGCGGCGGCUCUGCCGUCGUUUCGUUCUGAGUAAAUGAGAGGGUAGAGAGGGGGGCGGCUGUUGUAGCUUUGCUGCAGCCGCCGGAAACCAGUAGUGCUGCGAGCAACACCAGUAGCGUCGCGAGCUCGAGAUGGAGAGAUCUGAGGCUGCGGGCGCGAAGCCAAAUCCAUCGGAUGUCGUCGCUUCGUCAGCCGAGUCCGACUAGAUGACGCCGG
RNAcentral lists this long non-coding RNA (519 nucleotides) under Salvia miltiorrhiza (redroot sage). RNAcentral describes it as "long non-coding RNA (SMIL_LNC008799)". The record is from RNAcentral. Lineage: Eukaryota; Viridiplantae; Streptophyta; Magnoliopsida; Lamiales; Lamiaceae.